This 507-nucleotide ribosomal RNA is filed under the name uncultured Staphylococcus sp. RNAcentral describes it as "partial 16S ribosomal RNA". The record is from RNAcentral. Lineage: Bacteria; Bacillati; Bacillota; Bacilli; Caryophanales; Staphylococcaceae.
CACGUAGUUAGCCGUGGCUUUCUGAUUAGGUACCGUCAAGACGUGCACAGUUACUUACACGUUUGUUCUUCCCUAAUAACAGAGUUUUACGAUCCUAAGACCUUCAUCACUCACGCGGCGUUGCUCCGUCAGGCUUUCGCCCAUUGCGGAAGAUUCCCUACUGCUGCCUCCCGUAGGAGUCUGGACCGUGUCUCAGUUCCAGUGUGGCCGAUCACCCUCUCAGGUCGGCUACGUAUCGUUGCCUUGGUGAGCCGUUACCUCACCAACUAGCUAAUACGGCGCGGGUCCAUCUAUAAGUGAUAGCAAAACCAUCUUUCACUAUUGAACCAUGCGGUUCAACAUAUUAUCCGGUAUUAGCUCCGGUUUCCCGAAGUUGUCCCAGUCUUAUAGGUAGGUUACCCACGUGUUACUCACCCGUCCGCCGCUAACGUCAAAGGAGCAAGCUCCUCAUCUGUUCGCUCGACUUGCAUGUAUUAGGCACGCCGCCAGCGUUCAUCCUGAGCCAGG